CAGUUUACUUAUGUAACAAACCUGCACAUGUACCCUUGAACCUAAAAUAAAAGUUAUAGUUUAAAAAUAACCUACAUAAAUAUAUGACUUUGCAGCCCAAAUUUCUUCUUGUUCAUAGGGGCUACUACAAAUGCCUUUUUUACAUACUUUACUAAAAUACAGAUAUGUAACCUGGGACACCACUUCCCAUAUCAGUCAAGUAACCUACCACAUAAGAAGGAAGAAUGGAGUUCUGUAACACCAUUGGUGCAUCCACUUGGAUCCCUGAUGGUCUUUGUGUUCCUCUAGAGUGCCCAAAAGUAAGCUGUUUAAUCAUCAAAAUCUAAGAUUGUUCUGGAGUUCAGCAUGUAGAGUCUUGGAUUGUUGUUUCAGCCUGUAAACUGGGGAAGGUGGACAUUUACUUCUAUUUGAAAUCUACUGGUACUUCUUCCAUUCUCUAAGAUUUCUCAAAGAUGCACCAAUAAUGAUGUUGUCGUCAUGUAGGUAUAAAUAAAUAGUAGUUCAGACACUGCUUUGAUACUUGUUUUGCUAUUAGUUCACCCAUUAAGACUGGGAGAGAAUAAACUAAUAGUAAGUUACUUGUCUAAAUUCAUACAACUAGUAAAAGGAGUCACACAAUCUCCUCCUACUUGGGGUAAAACAGUCUCAAUACUUUUCAGUACCUUCUCCAAGUAAGAGGAGAUUGUUUGACUCCAAGUUCAAUACGUUUCAGUACUUUCUCCACUAUACUGCCUUGCUUCUAGAAUAGCAAAGUGGAAAGCAUCAGGUUCAUACACCACCUCCAUGCCCCCCAUACCCCAUACAUGUUGGGUUUGCUUCCACACAGCCUAUAUUUUAAACUGAGUCUCUCUCAAAACCAGUUACUCUUAUUAGAGAGCCAGAGGAUUUGGACCUUAGGUCUUAGAGGGUAUUGUAGCUACUACAUUUUUAAAGAAAAACCCAAAGCGCCCCAGGUUUCUAAAGCCCUGGAGAAAGCUAUCAGCCAUUAUUGUGACUUCAAUUAGGUGCACACCACAGAGAAAUGAAAUACCUUUGGAAUGCUGGCAUGGUUCAAAGUCAGACCUCGAAGCCUGCUGUUUUUGAAUGCUGGGGCACUGUGCGGCCAAUAUCAACAGCAGGUGGGGGCCAAACCAGAAAUUUUUCAUUUUUAUUGUUAUAGCACUUUUAUACCUUUUACAUACAUAAUUUUAAAGGCCUGACAAAAUCUGAAGCCUGAUUAUUGAAAUAAAAUUCAUGUAUUAUUUUCUCCUCUGGCAGGUUCUCAAAGUAUUGGUCUUGAGGGUUUUCUCACAUAAGAGGGCCUCUUAUUUGUGUCUUAACAGUAAUACUGCUAUAGUUUUAAAAUGCUAAUGAAAAUGUCCACACUCAUAUAAGUCAGUAUCUCAUUUGCUAUAUCGUAUUAUUCAUGGUAGCCAGUUGCCCAAGUGGUCUCAAUGAGGCCAAGGACACGGAUUCAAUUGUAGGAAGCCCAGUUAGCUCCACUCUAUUUGCUGUCCAAAGACCCUGGCCCCUUCAUUGUGGUUAAAAGCCUCAUAAAUCUUCGUUCAUUUAGCCAUAGGGGAGGUAGGCUUCAGCUUUAACUAGCUAGGACUUCCCAUGCUUGGAGACACGGAAGCUAAGGGGUCACACUUGAUAAAGAUAGCCUUCACCCAUGUUAUUAGCAAUAUAUUAAACUCUACACAACACUAAAUCUUUCUCCAUUUCAGCCUCACUUCCUAACUAUAGGAGUCAUCAUCCAUUUGCUGAAAAUGCAUUUCUUCCAUUAAUUGCAUUCAUGGCUUCGGUCUGCAUUGACUCAGGUUUUGCCUAAGAAAAGUAUAAAAGGAAAUGAUGGAAAGAACUGUAGAGCUGAGGAAGCUGACUCUGCUAGCUACCAUCUUUUAAAAUAUCUCACCGUAUACACAAGUACUAUCUAUAUACUGACUGAAGAUUUAUGUAUGUUUUUCAUUAGCAAAAAGAAAAAAAAAACACUUUUCCCUGCUUUUUGUUCAGGUGUUCAAAUUGUGAAGCUCUUUUACUGGUGAUAAGGCAAGAAGAUAUUGUCGCCAGGGAAGCCUGUGAACAGAAAGAAAUAACUCCUGAGAUUACACCUGCUUUUGAUUUGGUGCCAGUAGGAAUGAUGGUAUACACAUUUUACAGAAGUCAUUUUUUAAUGUUAAGAAAAAAUUAUCAUUAGUUUCCAAGAUCUUUAUAAUAAGCUACUAAAUUGGUAUACUAAUAUACCUUUGUCCUAAAACUUGGAAGCCAUACCAAAAUCCUUGAUUCAGAUUCCUUUCUUCAAUAGAGAGGGGACAGGUACAAAAAACAAAUUUUCUUUUUCUGAUGAUACGUGCAUUAUCUUGCUUACAAAAGCCACAGACAUCGCAACUGCUUAACACAGGCAAGGAUCCAGUCACUGAUACCUUCCUGAAGCUGAACACAUGGAAAUGUCGUCGUUGCCACCGCCUCCUCCUUCUCCUCCUCCUCCUCCUCUUCUUCCUCCUCCUCCCUUCUUCUUCUUCCUCUUUUCUCCUUCCUCUACUCCUUCUUUUUCACCUUCUCCUUCUUUUUCUUUUUGAUAUUUUAAGAUUGGAGGAUUACAUUAUGAGGCCAAAGUUAAUAUGCCAUUCUGGUGAAAGGCUCCGGAAACUAAAUCACUCAAGGGGUUUUGUUCCGGAGGGUUGGGACAACCUCUGAGGCACUGCGGAGAUGGAGGCACGCUGAGCACACUUGCGGAAGCCUAGGAGGCAGAUCGUCUUGCAAGGUUCCAUCCAUUGAGCUGAUUCAUCUUCAAGGAGUCGCCAGUUGGAAAGGGUUGUUAAAGCAAUAGAUUAAGCCACCAGCAUUAUAGUAGUUUAUUUGCAUUUUCCUGCAGGUCAGCCUCUGUUUAAAAGUACAUUUAUACUGUAAUCAUUGUGUAUAGCAACAGCUUUGACAUUAGCAACACAAGAGUUUGAGUCCUGGGCAAAACUCUACCAUUUGCAUGAUUCUGAGCAAAUAAUUGAAACUCUCAAAGCCUGUUUGCAUUUUAUGAAAAUACCCACUUUUGGGUGUAUUUUAAAGAUUAAAUGACUGGGUGAUUAGAAUGUUUAGCAGAAUAUCUCGUACAAGUGCUCAGCACAAAACACCUAGCUAUUUCUUGCAGAUGUCUCCCUGUCCUCCUCCUUUGUGUUGGUUUCCAAUGCCUGCCUUUCCGGUCUGUUUGUAUUCUUGCCUCUCUUAAAGUUCUAUUCUCAUUCGAUUUUUUUUUUUUGAGGCCUUUACUCACAAAAAAAGACACAAUGUUUCUGAUUUCAGCAAAUGAUUUCCUGCCCCAAUAAGCAAAACAUUCUGGGCAGAGCUCAUGUGUUGCAAGUUAAUGACGAACACCAACACUGGUUUUCCCUGUUUGUUUCCUAGGGAGCUUGUUCUGAGCUGUAUUAUGUUUGCAUCUUUAAUGAGAGAUGUAUUCUGUUGCUAUGGCAUAUUGAAAUCUAUGACUUCCUCUGGAAGGUGGAAUUGUCACCUUCCACCCCCCUCAGGUUUUCCCUUGGGCUUUCUGAGAUUGAGAUCUAGUGGCUUAUGAAACUACACUUAAUCAGAUAAGUCUCACACUAAACUCAAUGCCUUUGACUUCUAAUUUCUGCAUUUUAAGUCUUCCUGUAAUUCAGUGGCACAGAUUUAUUGAAGCUUCUGCCAGCAACAAUCUGCUCUGAUUCGCUGCAGUUUUAAUAGUUCCUGCUGAAAUAGGUGGGCACACAGUGGGUAAGGAGAUGAACACAGUUUUGCGUCAUUUAUUUCAGGUACCAGGCUGAGACCCACAUUUCAGUAGGUAAAAAUGUAGGUAAUUGACUUUCAUGCUGGUUCCAGGGUAGUAAUUAUAUGGCCAACUCCCAGGUUCAACUUGUCCCUAUAGCCUGUUCUGAGCAGAUCUCAUUUCCAGUAUCUUUGAGUUGGUGAAAUUUCCUUUAAAAUAAUCCAAUGAAUCUAACAAAGCAAAUCUUCGUUCUCUCUGCACUAAAGGACACGCAAUUUCUCUUAGUAUUCAGAGCUCCAGUGUCCUAGGAUGUGAGCUCUGCUUUGCAAUUCCUUGUCAGAAUGCUGCUGUCGUCGCCAACAAGCAUGGCAGAAUGCUGUGGACUCUUAAGAGUUCAGGAGGCCUGCAGUGCUGCUGGGUGGCUCCUGUUGCUCUCAUCUGAGGUCCAAACAGAAGUCAGAGAUCUUAAACUACCACAUUUGUACCUUAUCAUACAAUCUGGAAUUGAGAAUGUAGAGUCUAAGUUCAAUGGGUGCAUAGACCAGCAAAAAUUUACAGACAAUUUUCAGCUGUAUCAUGGGGUUGCCAUAUUUUUGUGUUGCUUUUAAGCACAUUGAUAAUCAAACUGCUAAUUAAUGGCUAUUACCAUUGUAUAAAAGAAAGGACUUUUUAACAUAAGACAGUAAAAAGGACAAAUCUUAGAAUUAAGAAUAAAUUUGACUUUGUGAAUAACUCACUACAUAAUCUCUUUCUUUCUCUGCCUCUCUCUCUUUAUCACUCACUCUCUCCUUUUCCUGCAAAGGAGAUGAAAACCUCAUCAAGACCAGCACUGAUUUGGGAAUCACCAAUAGAGUCAACACCUUACUUGCAGAUGAUGAAACUAAGGCCCCCUAAGGUGAACUGUGAACUGAAUUGAUGAAAACUGGGACCAAAGCCCAGAUCUCUGGGCUCCUUGUCUGACUGGCAGAACAGAGGCAACAAUACACUGAUUGGACCCGAGAGCUCCCCUGACUGAGAUGCUGGUUGUCAUGUGGAAGGCCUGGGGCCCGGACUGCCGCUUCACGCAACCCCUCAGUUAUACUGGACUACGCAAAGCGCUUUACUGAGUGGCGAUGCCAUUCUUCAGAAAUCAUCACUCCCAGAGACACCUGCACUCCCUGCAGCCCAGUCAGAAUCCCUUGAGGAAAAAGCCCUGCAAGAUUCUGGAGUAGAUCACUGACAGGGCAGGUGCAGUCUCUACUCAGCAUUCCAGUUAAGUGAUUCCUCGCCAGUCUCUGAGGCCAGACGUCCUCUCUACUUUUUUUAGUAGGUAACUCCCUGACCAGGCACUGAAAAUCUUGGGUAAAAAUCACAAAGUGAUUUAAAAAAAAAAAAAAAGACAAAUUGGAAAAGAUACCUGUGGAGGAUAUUUUCCAAAUACUUUGGAAAUCUUUUUGAAUAUUCUGGGCUCAGCAAGGCACUGGGCUCUCAGGGGCCAUCUAUGGACAAGAACAUUGCCAUCCCAAGAUUAGAAUUGCAUGAAGCUAGCAGAAGCUUGGGAAGCUGAUGUUGAAAAUUUAAGACUAACUCCCUAAGAGGCAGCAUUUAUUCUUAAUUCCCCAGCAGUAACAUUGUGCUUUUCUCUAGAAGGAGAUACAUGGUGAUCUUUCUCUGAACUUUAAAUGAUCAUAGUAGACCAGUACCUGUAGUAGUAGUAGUAGUAAGUUAACAUUUCCUGUGUGCUGGGCACUAUUCUGGUUACAUGUAUUAAGUCAUUUAGUCCAACAAUAGCCCUUUGCCAUCAGUAGUAUUAUUAUUGUCCACGUUUUACAAAUGAGUUAACUGAGGCACAGAACUCAAGUCACUUACCACCCUCAGUUCCUUAUCACAUGGGCCUCUCCAUAAGGUGACUUAGAACAUAGCAGCUUGCUUCACUAGAACAAGUAUGUGGGAAGAUUCAGACAGACAGAGGGUGAAAGCGAGAUGCAAGCCUAUCUUCUGUAACCUAAUUGCAGAAGUGACAUCACAUCACUCUGCCAUAUGCUAUUCAUAAGAAGCAAAUCACUAGCCUCAGCCCACACUAACAGGGAGGAGAUAACACAAACGGCAUGAAUAUCAAGAGGUGGAGUUCACUGGGACCAUCUUAAAGGAUUCCUUCCACACGGUCUGACGACAGAGCCCAAGACCUUGACCAAAAGAAGAGACAGGUCACAUUUUCCCUAGGCAAACUUGCAAGAACCAAACCUAUCUCAACAGAGAGUGCAGGAAUGGGGAAGUUGUAUCGCAGACGCCAGCUCCAGCCAGGGUUUCAAGUCAAUGAGUUUCAUUUAAAGUCACUUGAGCUCCAAGAGUUAUAUUUUCCUACCUGGCAAACUCAGACAGCGAUUCCAUUCAGCACCAAGAAUAAGGAAAAUGAAGGGUUACGAAUGAUGAUUAUUUCUCGAAUUCCUAAUUUAAAGUUAGUGAUAAGAGCAGUUAAACUCCGGAACAGUCACCCCUUUCCUCUGUGUUCCUGUCCCUUGUCCUCACCCCUCUCUAAUUUUGCGUGUCUCUCUGUGGCAGUUUCUGAGCUUUCUUUGUCUAUCUUCCUUUUGUUCCCCACCUUUUGACCAGCUUUCUCUAUCUUACUGCUCUGUAUUUUUCUUUUCAUUUUUCAGUUCCUAGGUGUUGAAUUUUUUUAAUUUAUAAAACUUUUUAGGAAGGGAAAAGUAGACAAAUUUACAAUAAAGUAGUGCACUGGUCAGUUUUAUGUGUCAACUUGGCUAAGCCAUGGUCCCCAGUUAUUCAACCAAGCACUAAUCCAGGCAUUGUUGUGAAAGCAUCUUGUAGAUGUGAUUAAUAUCUACAGUCAAUUUAAUGUAAGGAAGAUCGCCCUGGAUAAUCUGGGUGGGCCUAAUCUAAUUAGUUGAAACUGAGGGUUCCCUGCAGAAGCAGGUAUUUUGUCCGAAGGCUGCAACACCAUCUCCUGCCCAGGAGUUUCCAGCUUGCCCUUCUUGGCAGCCGGCCCUACAGAUUUGUAUGUGCCUAGCCUCCCUGUUACAUAAUUUCCUGCAGUAAAUCGAUGUGUGUGUCACGUGGGCGUGUGCAUGUGUGUGUGUGUAUUCUGUUGAGUCCUGAAUGACAUAGCUGGCAGGAAUAUCCAAUAGUUCUGAGAGUGGUCUUUAUACUAAUAGGGAGGGGGGGGAAUAUUUUCAUUUUAAAAGAAUUGAAUCACUUGAAAUGAGUUUUCUCAUUUGUGUUUUCAAAGAUACUAUUUUUUCCCCAGAGUAGAAUUCCAGAUAUCCCUCAAGUCAUGCCACGCUGGCCACCUCUAGUUUGGCCUGAAUUAGGCCUUGGUAAUGUGUCUGCAGUUGGUUUCACCCACUGGGUUCUUGGUCUCGCCGACUUCAAGAAUGAAGUUGUGGACCCUCGCGGUGGUUACAGUUCUUACACAUGGUGUGUCCGGAGUUUGUUUCUUCAGAUGUGUCCGGAGUGUAUUCCUUCUGGUGGGUUCAUGGUCUUGCUGACUUCAAGGGUGAAGCCGCAGACCUUCACAGUGAGUGUUACAGCUCUAAAAGGUGGCGAGUCUGGAGUUGUUUCUUCCUUCCGGUGGGUUUGUGGUCUCGCUGGCUUCGGGAGUGAAGCUGCAGGCCUUCGUGGUGAGUGUUACAGCUCAUAAAAAUAAUGCAGACCCAAACAGUGAGCAGCAGCAAGAUUUAUUGCAAAGAGCGGAAAAACAAACGCUGUAAACCACAGAACGUGACCCCACCGCCCGCCUCGGCCUCCCAAGGUGCUGGGAUUACAGGCGUGAGCCACUGCGCCCGGCCUGUUUUAAUCUUUAAUGUGGUAGUAAAUAUUAUUAGAUAUAACCCACAUAAACAAAAGCUCUUUGGGUUCUCAACAACUUUUAAGAGUCCAAGGAAUCCUAAGAGCAUAAAGCUUGUUGAGUAACCACUGCUGUAGACCACUGAUUAUGGUCAUGCUGAAACAAAAAGUAGAAUGUGCCUUUAGGGGUGACUGGUCCGAGGAAUUGGGAACAGCUUAGAGUGGCCAUGGAACCUAGAGUCCUCUCCCUCUUGCUAAUAGCUAAAUUCACACCAGAAGCUAUGUUGUAUAUAUGUAUUUUUUUAUCUUCUACAGAACCCAGCAAGAUUUUGAAUGCCGGAUACAUACUCUGUAGGUAUCAAUUGAUUUAUGUUUAUUAAUCUUCAAUUUUGCAACAUGUAUUAAUUUAGAAUAAGGGGGCAUCUAUCUUACAGCUCAAGAAGAUUAAUGUCCACUUGAAGGCUAAAACCUGAGCAGUUUGGGAGGCCCACCCUCCCUCAGGCCAUUGCAGCUGCCAUGUGAGUUCAGUGGGUUGAGGGAUAGAGGUAGGAGAAAGGUCCAUGCCCCAUUCAAGCUGGAACCUGUUCUCUGCAACUUGGAGCCUUUCUUUGGUCCGUAGAGCCACAAAGCCCAUCAGAUUCUGGUAUUUUCCUUCAGUUAGAGAAACUGGCAGGAUAUGACACCUAUUUUUACAACAUAAGUUCUUCAGUGAAGAUUUAUGACUGUUGACAUAGAACUCAAUGUGUCCUCCCUGUAUACAUGCUCUAUUCUAGUACACUCUUUAAGUCCUGACUAGAGUACGGUUACAAAUGCUGACUCAAACCUCAUCUCUAUAGCUUACCAGCUGUGAAAACUUGAGCAAAUUUCCUAUACUCCACCAGCCUCAGCUUCCCUAUCUGUAAAAUGGGAAUAACAGUAAUACCACCUGAAAAGGUUGUGGUGAAAAUUAAAUGAUAUAAUGUAUACCAAGUACUUAGCAUGGGUGCCUGACACAGCAAAAGAUCUGAAGAAAUGUUAAGUACUUUUUUGUGUGAGGCAGAAUCAUAGGGCUGGAAAGAGACUUUCUGUUCUUAUUUGGUCGUUAAUAUUUAAUAUGCUAAGCUCUAGAGAGACUAGUUAUUUGCCACUGCCCUUGGUAAGAAUGGGAAUGGAAAAAAGCAGAUCAUGUCUUGCUUCUUUUUCAUCCUCAUCAAAGCCCAAGGAAUGAAAAUAGGAGGAGAAGAAUCAUUCAUUUACUAAAGAAAAUAAUGCCUCCAUUUUGACCACCUGCUGUGUGUGAGUUUGCGACAAUCCCCUUCCAUCCAACAAGGUUGUGUUUAUGUUUUAACAGGAGCGUCUCUCGCUAGAGCAGAAAGGACGCGGCAUUGGCCAGGCAGCAUGUGUGUUUGUUUGCCCUGAGUCCUGGGGCAGCUAGUUAUCUUGGGCAGAGUUACUUUUCAGGUCUGGAGCCAGGAAAACACACUCCUUAAUGCCCACAUGGUUGCAGUGUGACACAUAGCUUGGAAGCUUGCCACACCUAUUGCAGCUGCUGCCUGACUUGUGUCCCAGGAAAGAUUGUCUUCAUGAGAUAUUCUUAGGGAUGAAUGCUGUAAGAAACGUGCACACCACGCAGGACAGCAGCCACCUAACUUCAGAGGUUCGUCCUCGCACAGGCCCCUGCAGUCUGGGCUAUGCCGGUGGUCUGCCUAGGAAACGGCCUUCAGUAUGCAGGGGACUGUGAGUUGCCCAGUAACUGCAUUUGAGAAUCAAAGCACCGAUUUCAGGCAGCGAUGGGCUGUGUGUCUGGAGACAGGUGUGGAGACUGCUUUCGUGUGCUCCUGCUGAAGGAAUAGAAGGCAGCAUGAACUCAGACUGAAUGGCUGGCUCUGGUAUGUGUCUGAAUUAAAACCAAACCACCAUUUCACCAAUGGCACACAGAUGGACCCCUGCUUGACACCACAAGAGGAAAACUAAAAAUGAAAUCAGCCAGAAUAACUAAUUUUGUUAUUAGUUAAAAUAAUUUCAAAACAAGCAACUCUAUUGUUUUAAAAGGGAACAUCAAAAUAACAGGAAAAUUGGAAAGUAGCAAUGUCAUAUAAUGUCUGAAAAUAAGCUAAAAAGAAUGCACAUUAUUUCAGUGGAAGAAGAAAAGUCCAAGGAAAAGACACAACAAAACUUUUCGUAUGUGUCAUAAGCUGUUCCCAUCACUACUGAAGACACAAGGGGAGAAAGUGGUUUGUACUCUACUCCUAGGAAUCUGGGUUAGACCAUGAGAGCAACUGCCAUGAUAACAGUGGGGAAGCAAACAGGGACGUAAUGGGACAAUACCUCAUGAGAGUCCCUGUGUGUUUGGAGUGGCUCAGGGCCUCCUUUCCAUCUUCGGCAGUGAGUUGCAAAUAGUGCAGUGCAUUACUUUCUACAUAAUUAUUUAACCUAAGGAAACACUUCAAUGAUGACCGCCGCCUGCAAUGAGGCAAUAGCAAGGAUUAAAAAUAGCCAAGGCAAGUCAUUAAAAUAUCAGGUAGCAAACAGUCCUUAAUGAAUGAAACAAGUUUUUUGGAAGCAAGGACCUAUGACUAGGAAGACUUGGAAAAUUGUAGGCUUGUGUGUGCUUAUUCUAAUUUUCCAUUGUGUAUGUUUUUGCUUGUAUUUCCCUUCCCGCCCCUCAACCAUUCAGGGCUAACUCGAUUUUAACCCCUCCAGUCUCACACUUCCACAUAAUUAGGUUAGGUCGCCCUCUGGUGGCACAGAGCUAAUCUAGCUUCUGAUAAAGCCUGUGUAUUCUCUGCAAUGCAAUGCCUUAGAUUUGAGCUAAUUAAAUAUUCUGUUAACGCUUUCAUAUGUAGCAAAUAUAAACUGACACUUUUUAAUGGAAAGAAGCAGCAAUAAAAACCUAAUUACA
Long non-coding RNA from Macaca mulatta (Rhesus monkey), 10379 nucleotides. RefSeq lists it as uncharacterized. Lineage: Eukaryota; Metazoa; Chordata; Mammalia; Primates; Cercopithecidae. The record is from RefSeq and is a predicted model, not a curated record.